UACAGAGGGUGCAAGCGUUGUCCGGAAUUAUUGGGCGUAAAGAGCUCGUAGGUGGGGUGGCGCGUCUGCCGGGAAAGCCCAUGGCUUAACUGUGGGUCUGCGGUGGAUACGGGCAGGCUAGAGGCUGGUAGGGGCAAGCGGAAUUCCUGGUGUAGCGGUGAAAUGCGCAGAUAUCAGGAGGAACACCGGUGGCGAAGGCGGCUUGCUGGGCCAGUUCUGACGCUGAGGAGCGAAAGCGUGGGGAGCGAACAGG
RNAcentral lists this ribosomal RNA (253 nucleotides) under uncultured bacterium. RNAcentral describes it as "partial 16S ribosomal RNA". It matches the Rfam family "Bacterial small subunit ribosomal RNA", at positions 524 to 776 of the family's 1533-position model. The record is from RNAcentral.